Molecule: ribosomal RNA, 433 nt
Filed under: uncultured bacterium
Lineage: Bacteria
Description: partial 16S ribosomal RNA
Rfam family: Bacterial small subunit ribosomal RNA
Source: RNAcentral
AGCGAACGCUGGCGGCAGGCCUAACACAUGCAAGUCGAACGAACUCUUCGGAGUUAGUGGCGGACGGGUGAGUAACACGUGGGAACGUGCCUUUUGGUUCGGAAUAACUCAGGGAAACUUGUGCUAAUACCGAAUGUGCCCUUCGGGGGAAAGAUUUAUCGCCAUUAGAGCGGCCCGCGUCUGAUUAGCUAGUUGGUGAGGUAACGGCUCACCAAGGCGACGAUCAGUAGCUGGUCUGAGAGGAUGACCAGCCAUACUGGGACUGAGACACGGCCCAGACUCCUACGGGAGGCAGCAGUGGGGAAUCUUGCGCAAUGGGCGAAAGCCUGACGCAGCCAUGCCGCGUGAAUGAUGAAGGUCUUAGGAUUGUAAAAUUCUUUCACCGGGGACGAUAAUGACGGUACCCGGAGAAGAAGCCCCGGCUAACUUCGUG